Molecule: long non-coding RNA, 698 nt
Filed under: Numida meleagris (helmeted guineafowl)
Lineage: Eukaryota; Metazoa; Chordata; Aves; Galliformes; Numididae
Description: lncRNA (ENSNMEG00000005125.1)
Source: RNAcentral
UUUUUCCCCUUUAAGAAAUACAAAAAGCACAUGUCUAUCUGUGUUCUGGGGUUUGGGCACAGACCUAUUUGAACGGCCUAAGCCUCCCAAAGGACUGUUGGGCUGUGAUAAGCGGUUUCUGGAAGCUGGGUAAAUACUCUCCACCUUCCUCUGUUGUCAGAAGCAGAUUUAUGUGGCCUUGUUUUCUCAGGCACUCUCAACCUACAUUUCAUUUCUAAUCCAUUUUUCCAGCCAGGAACUAGCAGGAUGAGUCACUGCAGUUUGAGUAAUGGAUGUCUCUCAGAACAAGAUAGAACCGUGCAACCUACAUGAGAUGUUUGUGUUUAUCUUUCUGUCUGUAUAGUUUCUCAGUAAUCGUGGCAGAGAGGGUACUAGCAAAGAGAACAAGAAGACCAGGAGACCUCACAGACUGCUGUGGAGACAACCUUUAGCAUGGUGAUACAGUUGUAUUUCAUCUGGAAACGUGACUGAACAGGCUACCUGGGUCUCGGCCCACAGAAGAUGGAAGGAAUGCUGUACUGGAGCAAAGCCAGUGCAAGAACUGUGGUGUUUGCAAAACUGGAAAGUGUUGGCAACACAGUGCACCACGAGAAGCAAGGAAAUAAUGGAAGCAAGAGUUGUAAUGUUGUUCUUUCACUUCUGUUGCUGCUAUUGGUGGUUUUUGGUUUGUUAUGUUUUAAUUAAAAAUUUCAUCAUAU